This is a long non-coding RNA of Carassius gibelio (silver crucian carp), 799 nucleotides long. RefSeq lists it as uncharacterized. The transcript is spliced from 2 exons. NCBI's taxonomy places the organism in Eukaryota, Metazoa, Chordata, Actinopteri, Cypriniformes, Cyprinidae. The record is from RefSeq and is a predicted model, not a curated record.
AAGGGACAGCUGUAUCCUUGAACCACGAGUCUUUGUGGCUUUCAGCAAGGCAAAGAUGAUCUCACCUGAGGGCACAAGCAAGCUUUUCUGCCAUACAACACAUGGCUAUGGUAGAGGAGAGGGAUGUGGUAUAGUCCUGCUGAAGCCUUUGAAAAAGGCUCUUGAAGACUCUUGAAGAUCAUAUCUGGGGAAUUGUGAAGAAGACUGCAUUAAACAAAGAUGGCCAGACCGUCACACCGACCACCAAACCCUCCAGCAGGAAGCUCUGUUGCUCAUGAUCUACUCCUCUGAGGAUUAUCUACCAAAUGUCCAGUAUGUAGAAGCUCAUGGGACUGGAACACCAGCAGGAGAUCCAGUUGAAGCAGGAAGUAUCUAAAAAAUCAUUGCCAAAGCAAGACAUUCAAGCUCAGGGCCUGUUUAUUGGCUCUGUUAAGAGUAACAUCGGACAUACAGAAUCUGCAGCAGGGGUGGCAGGAUUCAUAAUGAUUCUGUUAAUGAUGAAACAUGAAAGUAUUGUCCCCUGUGUUCUACUCAGCAGAAAAUUCAAGCAUAGAUGCUAAAUCUCUCAAUCUUAAAAUCCCCACCAGAGCUGAAAAAUGGCUUUAUUCUGGAUUCAGGGUAAGGAUGGUUGGAUUAAACAGCUUUGGGUUUGGUGGCAACAAAGCCCAUGCCAUAAUCAAGGGAAUGCACUUGCACAAAGCAUGCCCAUCAAUACAAAGUAGUACUUUUCAGUUGGUGCUCCCUGAAGGAAUGCCUUCUCAGUCUGCAGUGCAUUCUGGAUCUUAUUUUAGUGCAACAA